GCGCUGAAUCUCUCGGUCUUAGGCCGCUGAGAACUGUAGCGUAUAGGUGUGACUGUCCUGCUAUAUUGCAUUUCCGAAGUCUCUUUGAUAGGGGCCAACAUCCAGAGAGGGUGCGAGACCUGUACGGAAAGUAGUAUAGUUGGUAUGGUUACUCCUUGGAGUCGGGUUGCUUGAAAGUGCAGCCUAAAGUUGGUGAUAAACUUCAUCUAAGGCUAAAUAUCGACGCGAAAUCGAUAGCAAACAAGUACCGUGAGGGAAAGUUGCAAAGAACUUUGAAGAGAGAGUUCAAGAGAACGUGAAAUCGCUGAAGUGGAACCGGAGAGAGUUAACAUAACUUGGUAGCUAUAUCCUCUAAAGUCGCUUAACUGUGGCUCUGGGGGGUGGACGCUACCUGUUGUUGCACUGACUGCGUUGAUUGUGCUUUCCGAACAGUAUAGUGUUGCCCACUUUGUGGUGUCUUGCUUUCUGGGAGGUUUGUCAUAAUUAACGUAAAGCCAAUUCCCUUUGGAGUCAGUGUGAAAGUUAACCACCUUUCCGACCCGUCUUGAAACACGGACCGAGGAGUGUAAUUUAUACGCGAGUCAAGGGGUGGUGAAAACCCUAGGGGCGGAAUGAAAGUAAAGGCCGGUUAACCGGUUGACAUGGGAUCCGCUCUUCGGAGCGGCGCACCAUGGCCCUGUCUUGUCUGCUUGCAGAUGGGCAGCGGUAGAGCGUAUAGUUUGCGACCCGAAAGAUGGUGAACUAUGCUUGAGCAGGACGAAGCCAGAGGAAACUCUGGUGGAAGUCCGUAUCGGUU
Molecule: ribosomal RNA, 796 nt
Filed under: Heterorhabditis bacteriophora
Lineage: Eukaryota; Metazoa; Nematoda; Chromadorea; Rhabditida; Heterorhabditidae
Description: eukaryotic LSU rRNA
Rfam family: Eukaryotic large subunit ribosomal RNA
Source: RNAcentral